Long non-coding RNA from Astatotilapia calliptera (eastern happy), 641 nucleotides. Lineage: Eukaryota; Metazoa; Chordata; Actinopteri; Cichliformes; Cichlidae. The record is from Ensembl.
GUUAACGACGCACGCAAAAACGAGGAAAGGUUGUAAUGGAGAAAUAGAGGCACGGUGACUGGGAGAAAUAAGGGAACGCCUCCCUAAUGCUGGUUCAAUGAGAGUCAUAUGACAUCUGUUACCCGUUGACUCCACAAUUACCUCCUAUGGGAAAUGUUGUGGGUCAUCUCCAGUCUUGGGCUCCCCCAGUAUCCACCAGCAUCCUCUCUCAGCAGUAAAGGUAUAUUGGUUCAAUUUGCACGACAUAAAUUAGACGUAAAAAAUUCAAAUGGAUUGCUGUAUAGAAGAAACAACUGUGAAACUUUGAAGGAUAAACAUUUGCUUUCUGUAACAUUUCUAACUUGAAGCUGUGUGUCUUUUAAUGAUUAUGAAUCUAACAGUUAAAAAUUGGUUGUUUUAAACAACAGUAAGAUUGGAGUAAUUCUUUAAGACCAAAUACAUCCCUUGAGAUCAAUAUAAUUUUACAAUGGCAUUACUGUAUAAUUAGUCUCUGUGGAAUAGUGCUAAAGCUCAUUCACUAAUAGAUUUUCUUUUAAAUCUUUUGUCUUCUUCAGUUCAUUUUUGUUUGAUUUUUAUUUUAAAAAUAAAAAAUGAAAGAUGAUCGCUGUCACAAAUAACAGGACUCAAAAUGUGUAUUUUUU